Molecule: ribosomal RNA, 235 nt
Filed under: uncultured bacterium
Lineage: Bacteria
Description: partial 16S ribosomal RNA
Rfam family: Bacterial small subunit ribosomal RNA
Source: RNAcentral
UGGCGGACGGGUGAGGAAUACAUCGGAAUCUGCCUUGUUGUGGGGGAUAACGUAGGGAAACUUACGCUAAUACCGCAUAAGACCUCGGGGUGAAAGCGGAGGACCUUCGGGCUUCGCGCGACAAGAUGAGCCGAUGUCGGAUUAGCUAGUUGGCGGGGUAAAGGCCCACCAAGGCGACGAUCCGUAGCUGGUCUGAGAGGACGACCAGCCACACUGGAACUGAGACACGGUCCAG